This 3249-nucleotide long non-coding RNA is filed under the name Sus scrofa (pig). Its description in RNAcentral is "lncRNA (ENSSSCG00000056184.1)". The record is from RNAcentral. Lineage: Eukaryota; Metazoa; Chordata; Mammalia; Artiodactyla; Suidae.
CCCCGCCUUUAUAAGAGAACUCACUGGAAGAAAAGCAUCAUUUGAAUUAAUUAUUUGCACAUAUGGUGUGUUCCUGAUGUCAGCUAAUGCUGCAUUAAGGACAGACAUGCUGGGCACCCAUUAAAUAAUCAAGUAAAUAUUUGUAUUGUUUAUGAUAAACCGCUUCCUUCCGUGGGUAUUUUCGAUGUCUUUGUAAACAUGCCUUUAGGAGGCAGACUUUGUUUGUUGGGGCUUCAUACCAGGCUCAAAUCCCACAAAGAGCCCUGUUUAAAUUCCACAUCCGACAAAGAAACCUCACACCCACUGUGUUUUUGGGAGCUAAGUGAAUAUUUAGUAACACUUUAAUAUAAUAGCCGGAUCAUUAUGGUGUAUUACUGAACUGAAUGCUAUGUUAAUAACGCGAGUCACACGGACGCAUUCCUGUCCUCGUCUGAAUGUGGUAAGUACUUCUAUAUGAUUUCCACUGUAAUUCAAUAGUAAUUAGUGAUACAAUUACUUCAAGCUGGCACCACAUGUUUAUAUUGAACCAACAGGAAUGUUUGGUCUCAGCAUAGAAGAGACCCCAGUGUCUUAUGGAAGACUGGGGCCCAGGUAAGCCAACCGGAUUUUUCUUUGGUGAAAUGUAUUAUGUAAUUGGAAUGUACACAGGGUUUUUAAAUGCUCUGAGUCUGGGAAUGAACUUGACUUUCACACUCAUUCCUGAAGGUCACAUUGUCAUCGGGAAACAGGUAAAGGAAUUGUCUCUGGGCACAUUUUCCUGAAAAGAACCCCAUGUUUGAGAAAAGCUUGAAGUGAGAGUGGGAGAGGAUGCCACCCAGGUGAGAAGAUGCUCUAGGAGCUGUACUUGGCACUUGUCCGAAUAGAAAUUCCUAAUGAUUAUCGGGGCCUUUUGGAAUAAGGUCCUUAUAAUGGUUCUUUUUCAGUGAGCUUUAGGGCAUCUGGAUUUUUUUCAGGCUUGAUAUCUCCCAGGGGCCUCUGUGUGUGCUCUCAGAUGCCUCUUUUUGUCUCAUAGAAAGAAGGUCAUCAAAUACCUGGCAUCCUUCUAUUGAGAUCCGAGAAGCCUGUGGUAGCCUGUGGUAGUUGCCUGUGGAAGCCUGUGGUAGUUGCCCAACUAGGAUUCUUGGGAACCGACUCUGAUGAUAUCAGCUAAAGGGAGAUGAGUCUGUUGGGAUGAAGAAGCUUGCAAACAACCUCUAGACAUUUCUUGGAAAUUUAGAAGCAAGGAUCUCAUUCCUUUUCGGGAAGCAAGGAGAACGGGGCCAAUAAAUACUUCUCAUUACUUUAAGGCAGUGCAGCUUAUUAUUGGCUACUUCUUGGCUGUGAAAUGUAAUCUAUGGAGGAAAAAACUCUUCAUUUCCUUUGCACCCUCCUUAAAAAAGAAAACAAAACAAACAAAAAACCCACCUCUACAUGCAUUGAUUUAUUCUGGGACCCCAAGAAAAGCAGAUCUCCGAUCUUUUGAUCAUGAAUGAACCUCUUCAUUCAUUCACUCACCGGUUCAGCACACUUUGACUGGUGGCCCAUUAGGUCUCAGGAAUUGUGCUUGAGCUGGAAUUGGCACAGGAAUCUGGAGCAGCCCAAUGAGAUGGGAGGAGCUAUGUAUUAAAAAAGCAGGGAGAUGGUCACAGCCAGUCUUCGAAGUGACUGAUUGUCCCAAAGGGCAGGUGCUCGGGAAUGGGGACCCUCUGAAUGACUGGAGUCUCUUCAGAAGAGGGCACCAGGGACAGGAAUGUGAAGAAUAUUCUGGAUAAACUGCAACCGUGAAGGCAUGUGAGUUUUACGUGGGCCUUGGGCUUGUGAGUCUUAAAGUUUUAUUAUGACGGGAGAACUCCCUCAGAAUGUCAGGAUUGGUUGGGCUGAGGUCCAGGUUAUCGUUCUGUCUUUACGCCCCACGUGGCAAAUUCUUCUGGACAACGCAUUUGUGUUUGAGAAGACUGCUUGGUCCAAGGGGAGGAACAGGCUUUUAUGUUCGUGCCGGGAGCCUGCCCCGGUCCCUCUGCUGCCACCCUGACUAUGCACAUGUUGCAACGUGGUUUCUUUAGCUGAUGGUGCAGUUCUUGUCUACCCAUCAACAGGCGGUGGGUGUUGGCACACGGGAUCGGAUGCUACAUCUUGCACCUGUCUUUGGCUGCCACCCCCCAACCCCCACGGCCCCUACCUCCUUCUCUUCCCUCCCCUCCCCCGCUGUCACAGUUCACCUGUGUUCCAGCCACGCUAACGGCGAGCAGGUGGUUGCCUGCACACCUCGUGCCAGUCCCCGCCUCAUCACUUGCAUCCACCUGCCGUUCUGUUUUUCUCCCUCACGGUGAGCUAGUUCGAGAGCUACUUCCUUCCUGAAGUCCUCCCAUUCUCUUCAAUGUUUAUGCUGCACUUGACACUGCCCACUGGACACUCCUUAUCUGUAUGUAAGCUGUAGAUAAGAUCUGUAUCUAUAUCUGUAUCGUAUCUAUAUCUAGCUCCCUAUUCCAGCUGUGCAAUGUAGCUGAUUAAAACCAUGCUGUGGCUUAUGCUCUGUGUAAGCAUCACGUUAUUCUGGGGGCAUAGAUGUUGUUAUUAUUCCCCUUUUAGAGGUGAAAAGGAAAACUGAGGGUGACGGUGGAAUUAGGUUCUGGCCCAUUGAUACCACAGCUGCUGGGUAUGUGCUCUCUCUUCAGCACUGCCUGCUUCAGCAGAUGUACUGAAAGUCUUUGAUGCACCGGGGACUCUUCUAGUGCCUGGAAAACAGUUGUGCUGAAACAUCACGCCCCUGUUCUAGGGAGGGAGAUAGACAAUACACAGGCACAUACGUAAGAGCCAGGGGUAGUGAUGGGGUAAGUGCUUGGAGAAAAACAAGCAGGGACAGGGAGGGAGCGGGGAUGCCAUAUCGAUGGCCUCUGAUCAGAUGGGGUGUCAGCGUGGCUGGAGCAGAGUGAGGGAUGGAGAGGGGCAGGGAUGAGUUCCAGGAGGGGAGAUGGGACCAAGGGCAUGUGAGCUGUAGAAUGGAGCUUGGGUUUUAUUCUGUUGUCAUAGGAGAGUGGAGCAAAGCGUGAAUUCACCUGAUCUAUGGUUUUAUAAAAAAGCAUUCUGGGGAGUUCCCGUUGUGGCUCAGUGGGUUAAGAACCCUACUGUCAUCCCUGAGGAUGGGGAUUUGAUCCCUGGCCCCGCUCAGUGGACUAAGGAUCCUGCAUUGCUGUGGCUGUGGUGCAGGCCGGCAGCUGUAGCUCCGAUUCAACCCCUAGCCUAGAAACUUCCAUAUGCUGCGGGUGUGGC